RNAcentral lists this transfer RNA (68 nucleotides) under Tropidurus semitaeniatus (striped lava lizard). RNAcentral describes it as "tRNA-Val". It matches the Rfam family "tRNA". From Rfam's summary of the family: Transfer RNA (tRNA) molecules are approximately 80 nucleotides in length. Their secondary structure includes four short double-helical elements and three loops (D, anti-codon, and T loops). Further hydrogen bonds mediate the characteristic L-shaped molecular structure. tRNAs have two regions of fundamental functional importance: the anti-codon, which is responsible for specific mRNA codon recognition, and the 3' end, to which the tRNAs corresponding amino acid is attached (by aminoacyl-tRNA synthetases). tRNAs cope with the degeneracy of the genetic code in two manners: having more than one tRNA (with a specific anti-codon) for a particular amino acid; and 'wobble' base-pairing, i.e. permitting non-standard base-pairing at the 3rd anti-codon position. Lineage: Eukaryota; Metazoa; Chordata; Lepidosauria; Squamata; Tropiduridae. The record is from RNAcentral.
CAAAAAGUAGCUUAACAAAAGCAUUCAACUUACAAUUGAAACAUGUCAGAACUCACUGACCUUUUUGC